CGAAAACAAACUCACCCUCUCUGUUUAUCUGAUCUGCAUUUGGAUCUGAAAAUUGCAAUAAUUUGAGGUCGUCUUCCUAGAAAAAUCAAGAUUCAGGUCCAAGUCAAAAUUCAUGGGUGAAAAGUGAUCAGCAGCUAUUACGUUAUCUGCAGAUAAUCGAGCAAAAGUGCGAGAAAUGGCGGCCGUCGCAGUUCACCAGUUCGCCCCGUGCAUAACUUGCCACGCUUGGAGUCCUGAUCACUCUAUGAUUGCACUUUGUCCCAAUAAUAAUGAAGUUCACAUUUAUAAAUCCUCCCAAGACAAAUGGGAGAGGGUACAUGUCCUCCAAAAGCAUGAUCAAAUUGUCUCUGGGAUAGAUUGGAGUCCGAGAUCAAACAGAAUUGUUACUGCAUCUCAUGAUCGAAAUUCAUAUGUAUGGAACCAAGAAGGGCCAGAAUGGGUACCAACCCUUGUUAUCCUCAGGCUUAACCGUGCUGCACUUUGUGUGCAGUGGAGUCCAAGAGAGAAUAAGUUUGCUGUUGGAAGUGGAGCUAAAACAGUGUGUAUAUGCUAUUAUGAGCAAGACAACAACUGGUGGGUUAGCAAACUUAUCAGGAAGAGACAUGAUUCCUCUGUCACAAGUGUUGCUUGGCACCCUAAUAAUAUCCUUCUUGCGACAACAUCUACUGAUGGAAAAUGUCGAGUUUUUUCCACCUUCAUAAAAGGUGUUGAUACAAGGGACUCAAAAGCAGGCUCUUCUUCAGACUCCAAAUUUGGAGAGCAAAUUAUUCAGCUUGAUCUCUCAUUUUCCUGGGCAUUUGGUGUUAAGUGGUCACCAAGUGGCAAUACAUUAGCUUAUGUAGGUCAUAAUUCUAUGAUUUACUUUGUUGAUGAUGUUGGUCCUUCCCCACUGGCCCAAAAUGUUGCAUUUCGCGACUUACCUCUCCGUGAUGUCUUAUUUGUUUCUGAGAAAAUGGUCAUAGGUGUGGGAUU
This 972-nucleotide unclassified non-coding RNA is filed under the name Hevea brasiliensis (rubber tree). The record is from RNAcentral. Lineage: Eukaryota; Viridiplantae; Streptophyta; Magnoliopsida; Malpighiales; Euphorbiaceae.